This 2113-nucleotide long non-coding RNA is filed under the name Vigna radiata. Its description in RNAcentral is "long non-coding RNA (VRAD_LNC004088)". The record is from RNAcentral. Lineage: Eukaryota; Viridiplantae; Streptophyta; Magnoliopsida; Fabales; Fabaceae.
GGGGUUUUCUGAAAGACCCCAGCCCCAAAAUCCCGGAGUAGAAUGGGUUGGAACGUCUUCAGGAUGGGUUGAGCGCCAUUUUUCGACCAAACCAUUUUUUCUUUCUAGGAAGUGAAAGUUCUCACUAAAACAUCUUCUCUUCUUGUGUCCCUAGUUCUGACAUUCUUCUUCUCACUUUACUAAGGAGCAAUCCAAACCUUCACAACCUCAUCACCAACCUCGCAACAUCUAUGCUUCAUCCGUUGAGACCUCACCAAAUCCAUUCUUCGUAGAACACCACCAAUUUUAGUUCCGCCUCUAGAUUUCACUUCCGGUAAAUCUUCUUUUUUACUUUGUUUUAUUUUUGUCGAGUGUUGGUUUUCCACUUGAUUGGUGGCCGUAAUUCAUUUCUCACGCCCUUUGAGAGAAAGUAACGUAUUCAAUCAUUAUAUGUAAUGAAUUUUUUAUUACUCGAGGUUUCUAGGUCUUCUCCAUUUGAUGUGUUCUGCCACUGUAGGUGUUGUUCUGUUUGUGACAAUAAGCAUGGUUCAAAAAGAGAGAGGAUAUAGAGUGAGACUUGAAGGGAUUACGUGAGGAAUGUGUUUCGAAUGAUUAUUAUUUAUUGGUUUGAAAUAAUGAAUUUUAAUUUGUGGAGUGCCCCUUUUUUUCUUAGGUUGUUAGGUGGGUUCUACCUUGUCUUGCUGCAAUUGUGGGCAUAAGCUAUAUUCUUCAAUCAAAAUUGAAAGUAACAUGAAAAGGGGUGAUUUUAUGAACUAGGUUUUCAAAAUAUUCAAGUUGUGCUCUAUUUUCACCAAUUUUGAUAUUUUAUUUUGUUUUCUUCAAUUCAAACCAUUGUUCUUUCCUUUCUUGUCAUACGUAUACAAUCAUUUUACAAUUAAUAUAGUUGUUAUUGGUUUAACUUUACAAUUUCUCAGUUCUGCAUUAUUCUUGAUAUUUUAAUUCAUUGUCUUUCCUUGUUUUAGGUUAGUAAACUUGCAGGAAGCAUUUUCAACUCGUAUGAUAUUAGUUUUAUAGGUUAAUUCAGUUUAUUUCCAUUUCUAGAAGUUAGAUCUUUUAGUUUUUCCAAAUUUAGAGAAUUUUGCUAUAUUUUGAUUUAUUAUUCAGCUUUUGCCUUUCUAGAGAUGAUCUAGCUCAACAUCUACCUUUCCAUAUUCACAAGUUUCUUCUUAACAGGAUUUUCAUUUUUGUAUUUAUGAGUUUUGUUGGCGUGUGUUUAGCUUUGCAACAGAUGUAUGCAUUGUAGUGACUUUUGCAUACAUGAAAUUUAUGAAUUCCAGAUUGAUAAAUAUGUUAUACAAAGUUUUAUAUAAGCUCUAUUUUUCCUCUUUCUGUAAUAAUAAGUUUCAUCAUCCCUUGAUGCCAGUAUAAUGUCUAUAUUUAAACCAAUUUUUAUUAGAAUUAAGAAAGAAUUCGGUCUAACUUUAUCUCAAACUCAAAAGUUAAAUUAAUGUACUUUUCCCAUAUAGUUAAGGUUUGGAUUUUGUAGACCUUGAUAAUUUAUUUUAAGGUUUAAUAUCUAUUUUGAUUCUUUGAUUUAGUCAAAGUGUUUAAAGUGGUCAUAUCUUUACUUACGGCGUUAAAAACGUUAACGUUAAAAACGCUAAUGGUGUAAUUGUUCCCUAGAAAAUUAAAUUUGGAAAAAUUUGAUUCAAAAUCCAAUGAAGCUAUAUUUCUUGGUUAUUCUUUUACAAGUAAGACAUAGUUUUUAAUCGGAGAACUUUUGAAAUAGAAGAAUUAAUGCAUGUUGUCUUUGAUGAAAUUGUGAACCUUGAAAAAAAACCUCUUGAUUCAAGUGAAUCAGAUACAGGUGAAGAAGAAGACUUGUAGGAGACAACAAAUGAAGAGACCUUUGAUCAUUUAAUGAUAUUAUGAGAUUAACAUUCAUUUGUAAUCUUCUUGAGAUAACAACUAUCUCUUAGUUCCAAAUUUUCAUAUCUUAUCUUGUUUGGUGCAAGCACGUGGCAAUCUCCCACUCAUCUUGGAAGCUCCCUUGAAAUGGCGUGAAACUCCUUCAUUCCCUAAGUUCUCUAUUUCUUUCUUUUCCAAUUUAAUCUUUCAAUUCCUUUCUUUUCUGUCAAUUAACGUAGUUUCUUUCUACUUAAGCAUGUUAUUC